CGUGCGGCGGAAUGGCAGCACUUGACUGCUCCUGACUUGUGAUUCGUAAAUUGAACCAAAGGACAAAGAGGUGAGGCGACGAUGAGGUGGAGAGACACAAGGAGAGAAUUGAAAGCGCAGAACAGUAGCACACUUCUGUGGCUCAUCAUCGCCGCCUAUUCCCGCAUGGCAAUAUAUCUGUCAAAGCCCUCAUCACCAUCACAAGUUACUGUACGUGGAACUGCAAGUGCUGCACAUGGGGCUGCAGGCGGCUGGGAAAGAAGACAAGUGACACAAAGCAUCCGGCCCUAAGCUGACUCCAUUCACUCCAAUCUCGGGAUCAAGCAUCUUAAAUUUAACUUCAUGGUGGGUCAACUCAGGCCCCUGGCCAAACUUUGUGCAGCCCAGGUGAAGACACUCUCCAUGCAACCGAAACAGUUUGAUUUCUCCCAGGGACCUCUGCUCCAUGCCGUCUUGCUGACUCUUCCCUCAUUUCCCUCUCUGUCUCUGUACUGUUAAUGCAGUAAUACACUUUAAUAAAGAGAAAGCAA
Long non-coding RNA from Acanthopagrus latus (yellowfin seabream), 530 nucleotides. RefSeq lists it as uncharacterized. Lineage: Eukaryota; Metazoa; Chordata; Actinopteri; Spariformes; Sparidae. The record is from RefSeq and is a predicted model, not a curated record. The transcript is spliced from 4 exons.